AGUAAAUUACAUAGUGCUAACAAUCAAUACUAAUGCUAACAAAACACAUUCAAUUCAAUAUUACGAACGAGAAUAUAUUGAAUGUCUAGACAAGAGGGGUUGUUCUGAUGGUAAGCAACUCCCACUUCCAACCGAUAGGUUGUGAGUUCGAGUCUCCCCAAGAGCAAGGUGGAAAGUUCUUGGCCUUAAUUAUAGAAAGGGGUUGUUCUGAUGGUAAGCAACUCCCACUUCCAACCGAUAGGUUGUGAGUUCGAGUCUCCCCAAGAGCAAGGUGGAAAGUUCUUGGAGGGAAAGAUGAUGGAAGUCUAUUUGGAAACAACCUCUCUACCACAUGGUACAGGUAAGGUCUGCGUACACACUACCCUCCCCAGACCCCACUAAGUGGAACUAUAUUGGGUUGUUGUUGUUGUUGUAAUAUAUUGAAUGUCUGUUUUUUGUUUUGCAAUAACUUAGAUAAAAAUGCAUAACCAAUUUUAUUUUGCUUUGGCUUUUAGUCAUGUAAUUAUUACUCCCUUAUUAGUCUAUUUAUUUAGCAUGACUUAAUGCUUUUAGAUUAUGUUUAUUUUUAUUACGGUUAUUUAAUUAGCAAUUCAUAUUACAUAGUUUUAUUGUCUUUAUUGUUGAAUAUUUUAGGUAAUGUCACGACACAUAUCAUAUUUUGUAUUAUUUUCUUGGAAAAUACUUUGUAUAAUUGUAUCUUACUAUGAUUAAAGAAAAAUUUUGAGUAUACGUUAUAUGUUUUGUUCUACGAAGAUUUUACCGGAAAAAAAUCAGAAAAAAUCCGAAUAACUCGAAAAUCCGAGAAAAUUCGAGAAAAACCGACAUUGAAAAACUUGAGUUUUAUUGGUUUGGUUUGGUCUUUAGAUUUAAUAACCCGAUACAAUUAGUUUAAUUUGAUAAUUGUAAAAUCAGAAUCAACCCGGUCUAUGUACACCCCUAAUUGGAGUUAUAUUAGUAGUGAAAAAUUGAUGAAGAAAUUACACUAGUACCUAAGCAGGAGCACCGGUAUUAAUUAUUGUGCUUCCCAGAGCUCUUAUAGUAACCAAUCAAUUAAUAAGCUAUGUUUCAUUCCUAAACCACUUAGAAUUAGUUAUAUGAAUCUAUUACUCUCUAAUUCCAUUUUGCGUGACACUCCCAAAUGAUGCAUUUCCAUAUUUAAAAAUAACUAAUUUUAUAUUUCUCAAUUUACCUUUAGGGGUCAUUUGGUAUGAGGUAUUAGAUAGGAUAAGAUUUGAAAUUAAAUUUAUAUUCCAUUCGGUCUAAAAUAAAUGAUUUUUUGAAUGUUUUCAUACAGAUUAAGAAAUUCACUUUUUUAACAUUAAUAGCAAUGAAAUUGACCAUAUUAACAUUUACUAUCUCAAAUAAACGCUUCUAACACAUAUUCCAACACUAUUUACUCCAAGGACAAUAUAGAAAAAAAUAAUUAAUUCAUUCUUGAAAUGUGAAACAAUAACUUAUUUUGAACCACAAGAAAAAUGCUAAAAAUUACUUAUUUUGGACAGGUGGGAGUAUCUUAUUUGGUUGGAGUCAUAAAUUUAUCCUGGAAGGUAUAAACAUAAUCCCACGUCUUAUCUCACUUAUCCCAUCUUAUGUCAUCUUAUCCCAUCAAAUGUGGGUUUAUUUUAUCCAUAUCUCAAGUGGUAUAUAUUAGUAUCGAAAUUAUAAUCCCGGAAUAAUUUAGUCCGCGUAGCAAAUGAUCCCACGGUUCACAGCAACUACCUUUAGAAUAUUGGUUAGGGAGGGGAAAUCCUCUUAACCCCUAUCUUAAAGGGAAGAUGGUUGCUUAUCUCCGGAAGGAAUUCAAACCUAGGGAGAUAGAACUCUUUCCAGAAGAGUUGGUC
Molecule: long non-coding RNA, 1841 nt
Filed under: Nicotiana benthamiana
Lineage: Eukaryota; Viridiplantae; Streptophyta; Magnoliopsida; Solanales; Solanaceae
Description: long non-coding RNA (NBEN_LNC025916)
Source: RNAcentral